Molecule: non-coding RNA, 24 nt
Filed under: Arabidopsis thaliana (thale cress)
Lineage: Eukaryota; Viridiplantae; Streptophyta; Magnoliopsida; Brassicales; Brassicaceae
Source: RNAcentral
ACGUCAUAUUUGGGCUUAUAUGUC